This 233-nucleotide ribosomal RNA is filed under the name uncultured bacterium. RNAcentral describes it as "partial 16S ribosomal RNA". It matches the Rfam family "Bacterial small subunit ribosomal RNA", at positions 15 to 236 of the family's 1533-position model. The record is from RNAcentral.
GAUCCUGGCUCAGGAUGAACGCUAGCUACAGGCUUAACACAUGCAAGUCGAGGGGAAACGAUAUUGGAAGCUUGCUUCCGAUAGGCGUCGACCGGCGCACGGGUGAGUAACGCGUAUCCAACCUGCCCAUCGACUUGGGAAUAACCUUGCGAAAGUAAGACUAAUGCCCAAUGAUAUUUAUAGAAGGCAUCCGAAAUGAAUUAAAGAUUUAUCGGUGAUGGAUGGGGAUGCGU